Molecule: long non-coding RNA, 788 nt
Organism: Phasianus colchicus (ring-necked pheasant)
Lineage: Eukaryota; Metazoa; Chordata; Aves; Galliformes; Phasianidae
Source: RefSeq, a predicted model, not a curated record
UGGGGAAGUCUCCUCUGGAGAUAACCCAAACCUGCCCAGAUGCUUUCCUGUGUAGCUGCUGUAGGGAACUGCUUUGAGGGGGCUGAAGUGGUAUGGAAGGACUGCUGAGAUACAGACAUUUUGUUUCCCCAUUUUUAGUUCUGUCUGCCUGCUCCUUUGAAAGAAUCUCUGGUGCUUCUUUGGCUGCUUUCCUAAGGAAAAGUUGCAGACACCUCUUCAAUGGUGGCAAUUUGUGACCGAGGAAGGAAAUCUUUAGGUACAACCAAAGAGGAGCCCACAGCCUGUGCUGCUGAGCUGUGAAAAGAGCCUUCCCUGCAAAGCCCUCUGCACAUUUCCAUGGGAACAGACACAUGCCUUUCCUGUUGCCGAGGAGACACAGUGCUGCUUUCCGAGCCUGGCGAACGGUCCCCAAAGCACUGCAGCAUCCUUAAGACAGGAGCAGUUUCACACCAGCACCUCCCUCUCCGUCCACCACGUCUAUCCUCCUCCCAUUCCCAUUUUGCAUCUGCUCUUAGCACUCAGAUGCAAUGUUUCCUUUUCUCCCAAACAAUUGGCUUUGAUAUCAGCAUUUAAAAUGACAUUGCCAACCUGAACACCUCCACGUGCCUGGACUCUGCCCUCCCUACGACUGUAAUUAUUCUUAUAUACUGAGCGAUAGCGCAGAGCAACAAUUCCCCCCUUUGGUGCCGAUCUGCACUUAGAAGCUGGGUGGCAAAACCAGCGCAUCUCUCCUCCGCCUUCCCUCACUUUCGCUAUUUUUCAGUGGAAAAUCAAAAAUAAAAACCAAA